RNAcentral lists this ribosomal RNA (229 nucleotides) under uncultured bacterium. RNAcentral describes it as "partial 16S ribosomal RNA". It matches the Rfam family "Bacterial small subunit ribosomal RNA", at positions 524 to 748 of the family's 1533-position model. The record is from RNAcentral.
UACGUAGGGUGCGAGCGUUGUCCGGAAUUACUGGGCGUAAAGGGCGCGUAGGCGGUCGUGACAAGUCACUUGUGAAAUCUCCGGGCUUAACUCGGAACGGUCAAGUGAUACUGUCGGACUAGAGUACAGAAGGGGGCAACUGGAAUUCUCGGUGUAGCGGUGAAAUGCGGUUGAUAUCGGAAGGAACGCCGGGUGGCGAAAGCGGCUUGCUGGACCUCUGCUGACGCUG